This 501-nucleotide ribosomal RNA is filed under the name uncultured bacterium. RNAcentral's name for it is "bacterial SSU rRNA". It matches the Rfam family "Bacterial small subunit ribosomal RNA", at positions 30 to 525 of the family's 1533-position model. The record is from RNAcentral.
AUUGAACGCUGGCGGAAUGCUUUACACAUGCAAGUCGAACGGCGGCACGGGGCAACCUGGUGGCGAGUGGCGAACGGGUGAGUAAUGUAUCGGAACGUACCUUUCAGUGGGGGAUAACGUAGCGAAAGUUACGCUAAUACCGCAUAUUCUGUGAGCAGGAAAGCAGGGGAUCGCAAGACCUUGCGCUGAUUGAGCGGCCGAUAUCAGAUUAGCUAGUUGGUGGGGUAAAGGCCUACCAAGGCUACGAUCUGUAGCGGGUCUGAGAGGAUGAUCCGCCACACUGGAACUGAGACACGGUCCAGACUCCUACGGGAGGCAGCAGUGGGGAAUUUUGGACAAUGGGCGCAAGCCUGAUCCAGCCAUGCCGCGUGAGUGAAGAAGGCCCUCGGGUUGUAAAGCUCUUUUGUCCGGUAAAGAAAAGCGCCGGGUUAAUACCCUGGUGUCCUGACGGUACCGGAAGAAUAAGCACCGGCUAACUUCGUGCCAGCAGCCGCGGUAAUG